Molecule: ribosomal RNA, 433 nt
Filed under: uncultured bacterium
Lineage: Bacteria
Description: partial 16S ribosomal RNA
Rfam family: Bacterial small subunit ribosomal RNA
Source: RNAcentral
AACGAAUGCUGGCGGCAGGCCUAACACAUGCAAGUCGAGCGAGAUCUUCGGGUCUAGCGGCGGACGGGUGAGUAACGCGUGGGAAUAUGCCUCUUGGUACGGAAUAGCCUCGGGAAACUGGGAGUAAUACCGUAUGUGCCCUUUGGGGGAAAGAUUUAUCGCCAAGAGAUUAGCCCGCGUUGGAUUAGGUAGUUGGUGGGGUAAUGGCCUACCAAGCCGACGAUCCAUAGCUGGUUUGAGAGGAUGAUCAGCCACACUGGGACUGAGACACGGCCCAGACUCCUACGGGAGGCAGCAGUGGGGAAUCUUAGACAAUGGGGGCAACCCUGAUCGAGCCAUGCCGCGUGAGUGAUGAAGGCCUUAGGGUUGUAAAGCUCUUUCAGCUGGGAAGAUAAUGACGGUACCAGCAGAAGAAGCCCCGGCUAACUCCGUG